GAGUACGUGAAACUGCUUAGAGGUUAAGCCCGAUGAACCUGAAUAUCCAUUAUGGAAAAUUCAUCAUUAAUACUAUAUUAUUUUAUUAUUUAAUAUAGAAAUAGUGUGCAAUUUUUCCAUAUAAGGACAUUGUAAUCUGUUAAUGUAAUAAAAAUUUAUCAAAAGAUCUAUUACGUAAGUUUAUUCAAAUUAGUUAUUUUCGGAUAAUUAACAUAAAAUAAAUGUAUAAGAUUUGAUAAAUCAUUGACAGAUUUAAUUAUAUAAAGUGCUUAAAUUUCUAUGAAAUUUUACAAAUGUUAAUUAAACUAAGUUUAUUUAAUAAUAAUUGUAUGCACUUUUAUGAUUAACAAUGCGAUAGAUUCAGGAUACCUUCGGGACCCGUCUUGAAACACGGACCAAGGAGUCUAACAUAUGUGCAAGUCAUUGGGUAUCUUUAAUGAAACCUAAUGGCAUAAUUAACUUAACUGUUAAAUUGGGAUUAAUUUAUGUUUUAUUAUGAAAUAUGAAUUCAAUCCCGGGGCGUUCUAUACAGUUAUGCAUAAUAAUAUUUAUAUUAUUUAUGUCUCUAACUAGAGCGUACCUUGAGCAAAUAUGCUGUGACCCGAA
RNAcentral lists this ribosomal RNA (606 nucleotides) under Leucopodella sp. ZFMK D035. RNAcentral's name for it is "partial 28S large subunit ribosomal RNA". It matches the Rfam family "Eukaryotic large subunit ribosomal RNA", at positions 393 to 820 of the family's 3401-position model. Lineage: Eukaryota; Metazoa; Arthropoda; Insecta; Diptera; Syrphidae. The record is from RNAcentral.